GUGGGGAAUAUUCCGCAAUGGACGAAAGUCUGACGGAGCAACGCCGCGUGAGUGAUGAAGGUUUUCGGACUGUAAAGCUCUGUUGUUUAGGACGAAAGUGCCUGUUGCGAACAGUUACAGGUAUUGACGGUACUGAACGAGGAAGCCACGGCUAACUACGUGCCAGCAGCCGCGGUAAUACGUAGGUGGCAAGCGUUGUCCGGAAUUAUUGGGCGUAAAGAGCAUGUAGGCGGGAAUCUAAGUCUGUUGUGAAAAUGCGGGGCUCAACCCCGUAUGGCGAUGGAAACUGGAUUUCUUGAGUGCAGGAGAGGAAAGGGGAAUUCCCAGUGUAGCGGUGAAAUGCGUAGAUAUUGGGAGGAACACCAGUGGCGAAGGCGCCUUUCUGGACUGUGUCUGACGCUGAGAUGCGAAAGCCAGGGUAGCGAACGGGAUUAGAUACCCUAGUAGUCC
Molecule: ribosomal RNA, 450 nt
Filed under: uncultured bacterium
Lineage: Bacteria
Description: partial 16S ribosomal RNA
Rfam family: Bacterial small subunit ribosomal RNA
Source: RNAcentral